AACGCGAAGAACCUUACCAACCCUUGACAUCCUCAGCUACCUCCAGAGAUGGAGGGUUCCCUUCGGGGACUGAGUGACAGGUGCUGCAUGGCUGUCGUCAGCUCGUGUCGUGAGAUGUUCGGUUAAGUCCGGCAACGAGCGCAACCCACAUCUUCAGUUGCCAUCAGUUCGGCUGGGCACUCUGGAGAAACUGCCCGUGAUAAGCGGGAGGAAGGUGUGGAUGACGUCAAGUCCUCAUGGCCCUUACGGGUUGGGCUACACACGUGCUACAAUGGUAGUGACAAUGGGUUAAUCCCAAAAAGCUAUCUCAGUUCGGAUUGGGGUCUGCAACUCGACCCCAUGAAGUCGGAAUCGCUAGUAAUCGCGUAACAGCAUGACGCGGUGAAUACGUUCCCGGGUCUUGUACACACCG
RNAcentral lists this ribosomal RNA (412 nucleotides) under uncultured Alphaproteobacteria bacterium. RNAcentral describes it as "bacterial SSU rRNA". It matches the Rfam family "Bacterial small subunit ribosomal RNA", at positions 958 to 1392 of the family's 1533-position model. The record is from RNAcentral. Lineage: Bacteria; Pseudomonadati; Pseudomonadota; Alphaproteobacteria.